ACCCACCCCUGUGACACCGAAGACACAGUCUCACUAUGCAACCCAUGUUGGACAUGAACUCACAACCCUGCUUCAGCCUCCCAAAGGCUGGAGUUAGAGGCAUGAGCCUUCCAGUCCAGUUUAUAUUCCUGCUUUCUUCUUGUUUGGAGGAGACAUGGACAGAAAGGAUCUCAGAGGAGGACAAAGGAGAGACUAACAGUGAGAGGCGAACAAUGUGAGGGACUGGGCUGAUAGGAACUCAAGGGUCAUCACAAUGCAGCCGAGAAGAUACAUGUGAUAAAGUCAUGAUGUCUAGUUUGGCAUUAUUGGAAAGGAGGUAAAGCCUGGGGAAGAAGGCUUUAAGUCAUUGGGAACAUGCCUUCUGAAGAGAUGGUGGGACACAAAUCUCCUGUCUGCUUCUCUCUGUUUCUCCCUGUGGAUGUUUCUCUUCUCCAUAUCUCCAACCCCAGCCACUUUUAUAUAUCAGCAUGUCUUGCUCCUCCUGUGUUUCCUGGU
RNAcentral lists this long non-coding RNA (495 nucleotides) under Cricetulus griseus (Chinese hamster). Its description in RNAcentral is "lncRNA (ENSCGRG00015040542.1)". The record is from RNAcentral. Lineage: Eukaryota; Metazoa; Chordata; Mammalia; Rodentia; Cricetidae.